Tupaia belangeri chinensis (Chinese tree shrew) is the source of this 458-nucleotide long non-coding RNA. RefSeq lists it as uncharacterized. The record is from RefSeq and is a predicted model, not a curated record. The transcript is spliced from 4 exons. NCBI's taxonomy places the organism in Eukaryota, Metazoa, Chordata, Mammalia, Scandentia, Tupaiidae.
UGUGUGUGUGUGUGUGUGUGUGUGUGAAAGUUUUGUGUGUGUCCCCUUUUUCACCGACCUCACCCAGGUACCCGUUCGACUGUCCUGCGGGUUGGGGCAAGUGGUGCCCGGAUGUGGGGCCCUGGAGUAGAGGAUCAGGGUGAAGUGCACUGUGAAGAAAUCCUGGCCAGGUAGAAGUGGAAGGAGGUGCAUCCUUGGUUCCCUCAAGAAGGCACUAUUGAUGAAGCAAGGUCGAAGAGGGGAUGACAAAAACCCUGAGAUACCUCUCUUUUCUUCCACAGACCAACAAAAUGAAGAUUCUUAAAUAUCUGAUCCUGUUUUGUCUCUUCGACGCUGUUGCUGCUGGUUUUGACCCUGGCCCAACUCAACAGACAAUUGAUUACAAUAUUCGUUGUACAUGUCCCGGUGGCAACCAAUCGGUGCCCACCAGCCUGUAUAUAAGCUUGCAAUUCUUCCUC